UCCUUCGUAGCUUAGUUGGGAAAGCACCUGUCUAUCAUACUGGGGUCGUGGGUUCAAACCCCAUCGAAGGAA
Molecule: non-coding RNA, 72 nt
Organism: Armigeres subalbatus
Lineage: Eukaryota; Metazoa; Arthropoda; Insecta; Diptera; Culicidae
Source: the annotation of a RefSeq genome assembly